Molecule: non-coding RNA, 581 nt
Organism: Falco peregrinus (peregrine falcon)
Lineage: Eukaryota; Metazoa; Chordata; Aves; Falconiformes; Falconidae
Source: the annotation of a RefSeq genome assembly
GCUGCUGCCCCAGGCUGCGGCGAGCCCCCGAGCGGCGCCGGCGCCGGGCUCAGCCCCGGGGCGGAGCUGGCGGCGGCGCGGAGCAGAGGAGGCGGCGGAGAGGAGGCGCCGCGGCCGCCGCCCAGAGCCGGGGCUGGCGCGGGGCAGCGAGGCGCGGGCGGCGGAGCGGCGGCAUGCGGCGGGGCCGGGGCGCAGGGCUGGCGGGGCUGGCCGCGCUGCUGCUGGUGGCUGUGGGCAGAGCCCAGGUGCAGCAGGAGCCGUCGGCAGAGACCACCGAGGACACCGGCAUCGCCAUCAGCUGCUCACACCCCAGCAUAGGGACAGGAGACUUCAUCUACUGGUACCGCCAGCUCCCGGGCCGAGGCCCCGCAUUCAUCACGAGCGGUCACAAAGGGUCCAGAGAGGUGCAGGACCCUCCGGGGCGGAUGUCGGUGGCGGCAGACCGCCGGUCCAGCGCCCUGUGGCUCGCCCGGCCCCGGCGCAGGGACGCGGCGGUGUAUUACUGCGCCGUGGGAGACACGGGGCUCGGAGCCGGGGCUGCGGCCGGGCACGAACCUCGGCGGCCGGCGCCGGGUGCGUGA